This 495-nucleotide ribosomal RNA is filed under the name uncultured bacterium. RNAcentral's name for it is "partial 16S ribosomal RNA". It matches the Rfam family "Bacterial small subunit ribosomal RNA", at positions 28 to 507 of the family's 1533-position model. The record is from RNAcentral.
GACGAACGCUGGCGGCGUGCCUAGUACAUGCAAGUAGAACGCUGAAGGAGGAGCUUGCUCUUCUGGACGAGUUGCGAACGGGUGAGUAACGCGUAGGUAACCUGCCUGGUAGCGGGGGAUAACUAUUGGAAACGAUAGCUAAUACCGCAUAACAGUAGAUGUUGCAUGACAUUUGCUUAAAAGGUGCAAUUGCACCACUACCAGAUGGACCUGCGUUGUAUUAGCUAGUUGGUGGGGUAACGGCUCACCAAGGCGACGAUACAUAGCCGACCUGAGAGGGUGAUCGGCCACACUGGGACUGAGACACGGCCCAGACUCCUACGGGAGGCAGCAGUAGGGAAUCUUCGGCAAUGGACGGAAGUCUGACCGAGCAACGCCGCGUGAGUGAAGAAGGUUGUCGGAUCGUAAAGCUCUGUUGUAAGAGAAGAACGAGUGUGAGAGUGGAAAGUUCACACUGUGACGGUAUCUUACCAGAAAGGGACGGCUAACUACGUG